GUCUUAGAUAAUCUUUCUUGAGUGAUUUCUGCCUCGGCCGCGCCUGGCCGCCGCAGAUGAAACCCCGGUGAGACCCGUCGUCAGAUAUGGCGCUGGUACCUCAGCCGCUGCUCUCUUUCUCCUUCGCCUCCCCAAACCUACCAAUCCUCCGACUCCUCCGCCGCCCCCUCAAAUCCUCCACCACCAAAUGCUUCCUCCACCCCCAUCGUUUCCCGCGGCGGCGCAACCAACCAGUCGCCCGCCUACCAGACGACGACGUGCAUGACGUGGAGGCGGACAUGCGGAGCUCUCCCGCCAGCUCCUCCGGUGCCCACCUCGUCGCCCCCCUGGAUGACGAAGAGGGCGGCGACGGAUGGGGUCCAGCCAAUCCCAAUGGCGACGGCGCAGAGGAGGGAGGGCAGCUCAGCGAAUACGAGGCGGGUGAGUGGGACCCGCCUGUCAGCCCGUUCCGACCCCAGGCCCAGGAGCAUAAUCUCCAAGAGGAGGAGGAAGAAGACGACGAUGAAGACGGCGGGGACUGCCCGUGGUGGGACCCGAGCUUCUUCUUGCCAAACCAAGAAGAGGCAAGCACAACCACCACCGCGGCAGUGGAAGAAAUUCUCGCCUUCGCGAGGAGCCCAGCGGCGGCCGACGGCUCCGGAUUCGCUGAGUUCUUGGCUGGUUACAGCCGCAGAGCCCUCGGCGAGGACGAAUGCGUGGAAGUGAUGAUGAGGAUGGGUGAGGAAGGGCUGGCGUUGGGGUGCCUCCACCACUUCUUCCGGUGGAUGACGCGGACGCUCGAGGAGCAGCCGAUGUCCUCGUCGCCGCAGGCAUGGUUGGUGGCUCUCGUGUUGCUUGGACGGGCGCGGAUGGCCGAUGAUGUCUUGGAGAUUCUAGGAAGUUUGCCGCUGGAGAGGGGAUUCCGGGAGGUGGUUCUGUACAACGCUGCAAUGUCCGGUGUUGCCUACUGUGGAAGAUAUGACGAUACCUGGAAAAUAUUUGAGUUAAUGGAGAAGAACAAUGUCCAACCUGACCACAUAACAUCCUCGAUCAUGUUAAUGGUAAUGAAGAAGCGCAAGGCAUCUGCUAAGGAUGCAUGGGAGUUCUUCCAGCGGAUGAACAGAAAAGGUGUCAAGUGGAGCUUAGAUGCCUCUGCCUCUCUAAUUAAGAUCUUUUGUGAUGAGGGGCUGAAAAAGGAAGCUCUUAUCUUCCAGUUAGAAAUGGAGAAGAGAGGAAUCCCAUCAAACACGAGCAUUUAUAACAUGAUAAUGAAUGCAUAUUGCAAAUGCAGUCAAAUUGAAGAAGCUGAGGGACUCUUUGUUGAGAUGAAAGAGAAAGGGUUAAAACCAACAACCCUGACCUAUAAUAUCCUUAUGGAUGCCUACAGCAGAAGAUUGCAGCCAGAAGUUGUUGAAUCAUUACUUCUGGAAAUGCACAAUUUAGGACUAGUGCGAAAUGCUAGGUCAUACAACUGUCUCAUAAGUGCUUAUGGGCAGCAGAAAAAAAUGAGUGAAAAGGCUGAAGAUGCUUUCCUGAGGAUGAAGGCGGAUGGCAUUAAGCCUACAUCUUCUUCGUAUACUUCACUGCUUCGUGCAUAUGCAGUUAAUGGGCAGGAUGAAAAAGCUCAUACGACAUAUACAGAUAUGAGAAGAGAAGGACUUAAGCCUUCCUUAGAAACAUAUACGGCUUUACUUGACAUAUUUAGGAGGGCUGGUGACACAGAGAAGUUAAUGGAUACAUGGAAAUCAAUGAUUGAUGAAAAGGCUGGAGGCACUAGAGUCACAUAUCACAUGGUACUUGAUGGUUUGGCGAAGCAUGGGUUGUAUGUUCAGGCAAGAGAUGUAAUAUCCGAGUUCGGAGAAAUUGGUUUACCUCCUACAACUAUGACUUACAACAUUUUGAUGAAUGCUUAUGCAAAGGGAGGACAGCAUUACAAAUUGCCCCAGCUCCUGAAAGAGAUGUCUAUUCUGGAACUAAAACCAGAUUCAGUAACAUAUUCUACAAUGAUAUAUGCAUAUGUUCGUGUCCGUGACUUUUCGAGAGCAUUCUAUUACCACAAGCAGAUGGUUCGAAGUGGGCAAGUGCCUGAUGCUAAGUCAUACAGAAAGCUGUUGAAUACGUUGGAUGUGAAAUCUGCAAGGAAAAGCAUAAAGAAUAAAAGUACCAUUGUGGGAAUUAUAAAGGGCAAAUCUUCCUUAAAGCAUAGGAAGGAAAAGAAGGAUGAAUUUUGGAAGAACAGUAAAAAGCGGUCUAUGACCCAAGUCAAUGGGUACCAGCGAAAAAGAUUCUUGUGAUGCCCUAGUUAAGUGGAUAGAUACUCAUCCCCUAUGUUAUAUCAUGGUCCCCAUGCUUAAAUGCUCUUGAACUCUUCAGGUAUCGCUGCGAAGGAUGUCUUUUGGGUCAAACCUUUCGUUACAGGUCUAGGCCAGCACAGUCUGAACCACUUGUGCCAGUCGGCUUGGUCUUCUGAUCUGACUGGAACUCCUAGUCCUAGUUCCUAUCAAUCGAAUCGAUCGCAUUUGUAGGUCCAUGUCCAGCUUAAAACAUUACACAUGAAAUAUUUUAAAGGUGCGUGUCAUCUGUGGACCUGCAUUUGAGAAAUAUCCAAACUAGAACAAGUUCUUCACCAAGAGGCUGUAGUGUUAAAUAAUGGCAGUUCAAGAGUUGCAAUUGCAAGCAUUCCUUACCAUGAAGUUAAAACAUACUGUCGUUUUGGAUCUGAUAUUCCAAGACAUGGUUGGCCAGUUACGUCAUAUGCAAGAUUCUUAUUUUAUUUGGAAGUCUCUGACCUUCGGUACUCAUCUGACUAGUUAGACUGAAGCUAACGGCAUCAGAAAGUGUGAGGUGGUUGGCAAAUUAGAGGAUUGUAGAAAUAAAAAAUGAAAUACUCUGUUUUUUCGCAACUUAUUGGCAACAUAUUACGAUUACCUUCCCGAGGUGUGGGAUUCCUUU
Lolium perenne is the source of this 2931-nucleotide RNA transcript. RefSeq lists it as uncharacterized. NCBI's taxonomy places the organism in Eukaryota, Viridiplantae, Streptophyta, Magnoliopsida, Poales, Poaceae. The record is from RefSeq and is a predicted model, not a curated record.